Molecule: small nuclear RNA, 107 nt
Filed under: Petunia x hybrida
Lineage: Eukaryota; Viridiplantae; Streptophyta; Magnoliopsida; Solanales; Solanaceae
Source: RNAcentral
AUAAUCUAAAAUAUCAUUCAAAUCAAACCUGGGAACGAUUGAGAGAAGAUUAGCAUGGCCUCUGCACAAGGAUGACACGCAUAAAUCGAGAAAUGUUCCAAAUAAAG